UCUGGUGAUAAUGCCGACGUGGUCACACCCGAUCCCAUUCCGAACUCGGAAGUUAAGCACGUGAGGGCCGAUGAUACUGCUGGGUUACCCCUGUGGGAAAGUAGGACGUUGCCAGGA
RNAcentral lists this ribosomal RNA (117 nucleotides) under Deltaproteobacteria bacterium. The record is from RNAcentral. Lineage: Bacteria; Pseudomonadati; Myxococcota; Myxococcia.